AAUACCCCAUUCCACAACACUUGAAUAUAAGCUUUUUUACAAAGUGUUAUUAUAGCUAAUACUAAAAAGUGGGAGAGUGAAAAUCUGAAUAAAUGAUGAAAUAACUACUUUCAAGUUUAUCUUUUUGAACUGUUACCUUUCAAGCGGGAGAGUGAAAAAAAAGGCGGUACCUUUUGAGGAAAGCCCGCUAAAUACUAAAAUGUUAAAAAAAAUAAUUAUCUUUUUGAAAAGUCUUAGACUCUCAUUUAGUUUCCUUUGUAGCCUUCCAUUCGGUCAUCUGUCAAAGUCCCUCUCUCCUCCAAUCGACCAUCAUUCUUUCUCUCUUGGUAUCAAUCUCUCUACUUGGGAAUAUUCACUCUUUGUUUGGGCAUUAAAGAUCUACCCCUAUAUCCUUUCUCCUUUAGUGGUCUCGGCUAUCUCUAGUUGUAUCUAUUACAUAGCCAGCCACUCCAUCAUUGGCAUUGCUGAUAUUUGAUUUAUAAGGAAUGCCUCAAUUUAAGACCCAACUAAAUGGAACUAAAUAAUGGAGUAAUAUAUAGUAGGCAUAACCUUACCUGCCAGCGAGCUUGGGUGGAUUUCAACAUGUUUUUUUGGACUCUUCAAGGUUCUUGGUAAGACAUCUUAGUUGCCUAUUAUGUUAGAGUGUGUUUACUCUUCUUAGUGGCUCUUUAGUUUUCUGUUAUGGUUGUUAUAAGUAGUUAAACUACUUUCUCAAUUGAUCUCUUGUAUAAAUACUCUCUUGUACAAAUUACUUGGUCAACAAUAAUACUUCUUCUUUCCAUAAAGAUUUUACUCUGUUUCGUUAGAAUUAAUAGUUCUAACAUUUUUUUUGGAUUAUAAUCAUUCAAAUUUUAGUAAAUUUUGAAUAUUAAAAUAUGUUGUCAUUUCACAUGUCAUUAAUGUGUUGUAACUUCUAGAUGAGAAUUACAUAUAUAUGUUGCAAUAUAGAUUUGAUGUAUGAGUUAUUUUAAGUGGAACUUGAUAAAUCUCUAAUUUUUUUCAAUUUUCUGCUUGUCUGGUGAAAGAAUUAAUCUAACAUGAAGAAAAUUAAUAUAAGCUUAUAUAAUGGCUUGUAUUGAGGUGAAAAGAGAAAUAUAUUUAUAUUGUGGCUGUCAUUUGUGUUUGAAAGAAAUGAAAAAAAAUCAAGAGUAUUUUCUAUUGACAAAUAUUAUUAGAGAGUGUAUACAUAUAUGGUUUGUUAAUCUAUACAUUUAUGUUUAUAGAAAUUUAUUUUGAUUAGUUCUAUGUUUUCCCCUGUGUUUCUUUUUAGUGAAGAAUGUAUUGCUUUUCCUUUUGUUUCAUUCUUUUGGCCGUCUUUGCCUAAGUUUGACUUGUAUUUUUUUUUAACUUUGUUUGCUUUUUUGCUGGUAUUUAAUUAUAUGAUAUUGUACUUGAUGAAUGAGAUGCUACCUCUAGGUUUUUGCUUCUCUACUUUUGAAAGUCAUCUAGCAAAUUUUGCUUUGUGACAACUAUUAUUUUUUAAUGUGAUUUCUUUACCCCCUUAUUGCAAUCUUUACUUAUUACUUUUUUUUUGUGUUGCAUGAAAUGAGAAUGCAAGGAUGCAUGCAAUAUUGAUUCCACGUAGUUGGGGAGAAUCGUUUUCUUGUUGUUUUAAGCUCACUUCAAGUCUUCUACAUCCAUCGGCUUUUAAGCAAGCUAAUCGCCUACAAUCUGGUUCAAGAACUGCAUCACAAUAUCAUUAAGUCAGAAAAUAAGCUUAGAGGCGGUAAGAUUCGUGGCGCUUGGAGGAUGUGUAUCGAUGAUGAAUGGAGUCAAGGGGCCGAGCGUUAAUCGAUUCGAGGAUGUAGUUUCGGUUUUAUGUCUUUUUAUAUGUAUUUUCCGCACUAAUUAUGUAAUGUUUUAUUAUUUUAAAUUAUGUUUUUGUUUUCAAGACAAUGGGAUCCCAUAUCCGUUUUGGUAUUUACUUUGUAAAUAACUCUUAUUUUGCAAGUUAUUCAAUAAAUUAUGGUAUUUUCGCAAA
Molecule: long non-coding RNA, 1981 nt
Organism: Humulus lupulus (European hop)
Lineage: Eukaryota; Viridiplantae; Streptophyta; Magnoliopsida; Rosales; Cannabaceae
Exons: 4
Source: RefSeq, a predicted model, not a curated record